Molecule: transfer RNA, 63 nt
Filed under: Hydrocolus stagnalis
Lineage: Eukaryota; Metazoa; Arthropoda; Insecta; Coleoptera; Dytiscidae
Description: tRNA-Cys
Source: RNAcentral
AGUAUUAUAGUUUAAAGAAAAAUUUUAAAUUGCAAAUUUAAAGAUAGAGUAUUCUUAUUACUU